CGCUGGCGGCGUGCCUAACACAUGCAAGUCGAACGGUAACAGAACUAGCUUGCUAGUUGCUGACGAGUGGCGCACGGGUGAGUAACGCGUGGAUAUCUGCCUAUUAGUGGGGGACAACUUGUGGAAACGCAAGCUAAUACCGCAUAAUCCCUACGGGGGAAAGCAGGGGACCUUCGGGCCUUGUGCUGAUAGAUGAGUCCGCGUCUGAUUAGCUAGUUGGUAAGGUAAAGGCUUACCAAGGCGAUGAUCAGUAUCUGGUUUGAGAGGAUGAUCAGACACACUGGAACUGAGACACGGUCCAGACUCCUACGGGAGGCAGCAGUGGGGAAUAUUGCACAAUGGGGGAAACCCUGAUGCAGCGACGCCGCGUGUGGGAAGAAGGCCUUCGGGUUGUAAACCACUUUCAAUUGGGAAGAAGAGAUGAGGUUUAAUACACUUCUGAUUUGACGGUACCUUUAGAAGAAGCACCGGCUAAUUUCGUGCCAGCAGCCGCGGUAAUACGAAAGGUGCAAGCGUUGUUCGGAUUUACUGGGCGUAAAGAGAGUGUAGGUGGUUUAUUAAGUCGGAUGUGAAAUCCCGGGGCUCAACCUCGGAACUGCAUUCGAUACUGAUAGGCUAGAGUUUGGGAGGGGUAAGCGGAAUUCCGUGUGUAGCAGUGAAAUGCGUAGAUAUACGGAGGAACACCUGAGGCGAAGGCGGCUUACUGGACCAAUACUGACACUGAGACUCGAAAGCGUGGGUAGCAAACAGGAUUAGAUACCCUGGUAGUCCACGCCCUAAACGAUGUCAACUAGCCGUUGCGGGUAUCGACCCCUGCAGUGGCGAAGCUAACGCGAUAAGUUGACCGCCUGGGGAGUAC
This 859-nucleotide ribosomal RNA is filed under the name uncultured bacterium. RNAcentral describes it as "bacterial SSU rRNA". It matches the Rfam family "Bacterial small subunit ribosomal RNA", at positions 34 to 883 of the family's 1533-position model. The record is from RNAcentral.